AUUGAACGCUGGCGGCAUGCCUUACGCAUGCAAGUCGAACGGUAACGGGCCUUCGGGUGCCGACGAGUGGCGCACGGGUGAGUAAUACAUCGGAACGUGCCCGAUCGUGGGGGAUAACGAGGCGAAAGCUUUGCUAAUACCGCAUACGAUCUACGGAUGAAAGCAGGGGACCGCAAGGCCUUGCGCGGACGGAGCGGCCGAUGGCAGAUUAGGUAGUUGGUGGGAUAAAAGCUUACCAAGCCGACGAUCUGUAGCUGGUCUGAGAGGAUGAUCAGCCACACUGGGACUGAGACACGGCCCAGACUCCUACGGGAGGCAGCAGUGGGGAAUUUUGGACAAUGGGCGCAAGCCUGAUCCAGCCAUGCCGCGUGCAGGAUGAAGGCCUUCGGGUUGUAAACUGCUUUUGUACGGAACGAAAAGCCUUCUUUUAAUACAGGAGGGUCAUGACGGUACCGUAAGAAUAAGCACCGGCUAACUACGUG
Molecule: ribosomal RNA, 482 nt
Filed under: uncultured bacterium
Lineage: Bacteria
Description: partial 16S ribosomal RNA
Rfam family: Bacterial small subunit ribosomal RNA
Source: RNAcentral